Long non-coding RNA from Daphnia magna, 1388 nucleotides. RefSeq lists it as uncharacterized. The transcript is spliced from 2 exons. The record is from RefSeq and is a predicted model, not a curated record. Lineage: Eukaryota; Metazoa; Arthropoda; Branchiopoda; Diplostraca; Daphniidae.
CCUCUGAAUUGUUAUGGCUAAGCACGCAAAAUGGCCGCUAGAGCUUGCCUCUGGCGUUGUUUUUCCUGUCGAAAUGUGUGCGGCGUUCGUCCAUUUGUUUUCUUUGGAAUUUCCGAAUUUGUUAUUUGUUUUACCGCCAUGUUUUUCGUGUUUACAUUAAUACAUUUUGUUUUUUACGGAACGCCAAAUUACCCCCUAAAAUUUCAGCACCUUGGCUAGGGCCAUUUAUUUUUUUUCGCAGAAAAUAAUCACCAUCCACCAACGCCAUCUAGCGGCCACAAUACGCACCUUUUUGAAAUCCCACCCACCGAAGGAGGAGCUGAAUCACUAUCGAUCUCUACAACCAUUUCCAACAAUUAAUAUCGAUUUUAUCGUGCCAGUGCAGAUACAGGUGAAUGUCUCAGUGAUAAUAAAUUUGUUUUUGUUUUCUAAACGUUUAUCAAUUACUGGUUUUCAAUACUGUUUAUCUCGCUUGUUGCAAUAACAUACCAGUUUAUCUCGCCGUUGAAAUGGACGACGCUGUCUGGAGUGUUGCGUUAAUCUAGUCGAUUAAAACCACAUUAAGUGUCCUCAGUGUCGCAUAUUCACUCCGGUUAGUGCCGGGCAAAUCUCUGUGAAUUAGGAUCUCCAAACCGAUCACGAUUUGAUGGCCCUACUUUUGCAAACAAAAAAAAUUUAUUAACACAGAGAAAUUUAUUAUCACAGAGACAUUCACCUGUAUCUGCCACUGGCACGAUAAAUACGGAACGCCAAAUUACCCCCUAAAAAUUCAGCACCUCGGCUAGGGCCAUUUAUUUUUUUUCGCAGAAAAUAAUCAUCAUCCACCAACGCCAUCUAGCAGUCACGGUAUGCACCGUUUUGAAAUCCCACCCGCUGGAGGAGGAGAUAAAUCACUAUCGAUUCCUAUAACCAUUUCCAACAAUUAAUAUCGAUUUAAUCGUGCCCGUGGCAGAUACAGGUGAAUGUCUCUGUGAUAAUAAAUUUGUUUUUGUUUGGAGAAGUAGGGCCAUCAAAUCGUGAUCGGUUUGGAGAUCAUCAUUCACAGAGAUUGGCCCGGCACUAACCGGAGUGAAUCUGCGACACUGAGGACACUUAAUGUGGUUUUAAUCGGCCAGAUUCUAAAUGACACAAAAAUAUACAUGAAUAAAAUCAUCGGACAUCACAGGCAUAAUCAUAACAUUAGGUUUUAUACGUAGAAUUCACGUGUGCGCAUACAAAAAAGAAAAAGAAAAAACAAUACAAAAGAGAAACGUGACUUACAACGCAACACUCCAGACAGCGUCAUCCAUUUCAACGCGAGAUAAACUGGUAUGUUAUUGCAACAAGCGAGAUAAACAGUAUUGAAAACCAGUAAUUGAUGAACGUUUAGAAAACAAAAACAAAUUUAU